RNAcentral lists this ribosomal RNA (460 nucleotides) under uncultured bacterium. RNAcentral describes it as "partial 16S ribosomal RNA". It matches the Rfam family "Bacterial small subunit ribosomal RNA", at positions 338 to 795 of the family's 1533-position model. The record is from RNAcentral.
CCUACGGGUGGCUGCAGUGAGGAAUAUUUGUCAAUGGACGCAAGCCUGAACCAGCCACGCCGCGUGCAGGAAGACGGCCCUAUGAGUUGUAAACUGCUUUUGUACGAGGGUAAACGCAGAUACGCGUAUCUGUCUGCAAGUAUCGUACGUAUAAGGAUCGGCUAACUCCGUGCCGGCAGCCGCGGUAAUACGGAGGAUUCAAGCGUUAUCCGGAUUUAUUGGGUUUAAAGGGUGCGUAGGCGGUCGGUUAAGUUAGAGGUGAAAUCCCGAGGCUCAACUUCGGAAUUGCCUGUGAUACUGUUCGGCUAGAGAGUAGUAGCGGUAGGCGGAAUGUAUGGUGUAGCGGUGAAAUGCGUAGAGAUCAGAAAGAACACCGAUUGCGAAGGCAGCUUACCAGGAUACUUCUGACGUUGAGGCACGAAAGCGUGGGGAGCAAACAGGAUUAGAUACCCGGGUAGUC